UAGAUAUUGAUAUGAAGGGAUAUUUUAACAGUACUAAUACUAAUACUACUACUGCUACUACUAAUAGUAACAAUAGUGGUGGUAGUAAUUUUUAUUCGUUAAUAGAUAAAAGUUUAGAAUUAAUGAAAGCAAGUGAUAAAGUAAAAGAAAUGUUAAAAACUCCUGCACGAUUACAAGUUACUCAGGAAGAAUUAAACAAAAUUGAUUAUAACGAAGAAGAUGAACAGUAUAAUAUGUGGUUUGGGAAAUACAUAAUUGACAAAUAUGAUAAAUGUCCUAAAACUAAUAGUACACCUCGUUUUGUAGCUAAAUAUAAAUGUAAUCCAUUGACGGAUUCAGGAUAUACAAAAGCUGAUAAAUCAUCAUAUACAACAAAACAAUUUUUUUGUAUUUAUUUUGCACGAGGAUGUUGUGCUUAUGGUCAUAACUGUCUAUAUAGACAUCGAAUUCCUAACGAAAAUGAUGAAUUAGAAUUUGAAAUAUCUAUGGAUAUAUUUGGAAGAGAAAAAUUUAAUUCGUUUAAAGAAGACAUGACAAUAGUAGGUAAUUUGAAUAGUGACUGUAGAACAUUAUUUAUUGGGAGUAUAUAUAUGAAUAAUGCAAAGGAUGUUUCUAUUGUUGAAAAAUUGUUAUAUGAUGAAUUUAUAAAUUUUGGUAACAUUGACUAUGUUAGAUUUAUACCAAAUAAAAGUAUAGCAUUUAUUCAAUAUACUAAUAGAGUUAAUGCAGAAUUUGCUAAAGUUGCUAUGUCAGACCAACCAAUAGAAAAUCAUUCAACAGCAUUAGCUAUUAAAUGGGCUUUCGAAUUAAAAAAUCCACCACACCAUCCAAUGCAAUAUUAUAAUAAUACUUUUAUGUAUAAUCAAAAUCAUCAUACUACUACUACUACUACUAAUAAUAAUAUUAAUAAUAACAAUCACCUUUUUAAUCAUAAUAAUGCUAAUAACACACAACAUACAUGGGAACAAUAUAUGAUGAUGACACAACAAUAUGGACUAAACCCAUUUUUUCCUAAUUAUAAUAAUAUGAUUACUGACGAUGGUAUGGAAACUGCUUUGGGGACUCCUGUCGGUGGUAUAGGUUUUCCUAAUGCUGUUAAUAAUAUUGCCUAUGGUAACAUGAACACAUUUAACAAUCCUAAUAACAUAAAUGGUGCAGCUAACUUUGCUUUCCCUUCGCAUUAUAACAAAGUGAAUGAUAGAUAUAACAACAUAAAUAAUAAUAUAAAUAAAACGUAUCAAAAGUUUGACAUACAAAACUGAUAUAUAUAUAUAUAUAUAUAUAUAUAUAUAUAUACACAUUUGUAGGGAUAUAUUGAGAUUUGAACUUACAAGAAAAAAGUAAUAAACUAAAAUGAAAAAGGGGUUAUGCGUAUGUG
RNAcentral lists this long non-coding RNA (1378 nucleotides) under Piliocolobus tephrosceles (Ugandan red Colobus). Its description in RNAcentral is "lncRNA (ENSPTEG00000014680.1)". Lineage: Eukaryota; Metazoa; Chordata; Mammalia; Primates; Cercopithecidae. The record is from RNAcentral.